This 74-nucleotide transfer RNA is filed under the name Minisyncoccota bacterium. Its description in RNAcentral is "tRNA-Pro". It matches the Rfam family "tRNA". Rfam says of the family: Transfer RNA (tRNA) molecules are approximately 80 nucleotides in length. Their secondary structure includes four short double-helical elements and three loops (D, anti-codon, and T loops). Lineage: Bacteria; Bacillati; Minisyncoccota. The record is from RNAcentral.
CGGAGAAUAGCUCAGAUGGCUAGAGCGCGCGCUUUGGGAGCGUGAGGCCGCAGGUUCGAGUCCUGUUUCUCCGA